RNAcentral lists this ribosomal RNA (200 nucleotides) under uncultured bacterium. RNAcentral's name for it is "partial 16S ribosomal RNA". It matches the Rfam family "Bacterial small subunit ribosomal RNA", at positions 524 to 723 of the family's 1533-position model. The record is from RNAcentral.
UACAGAGGGCGCGAGCGUUGUCCGGAAUCACUGGGCGUAAAGGGCGCGUAGGUGGCACUAUAAGGCCGUGGUGAAAGUCUGGGGCUCAACCCCAGAUCUGCCGCGGCGACUGUAGAGCUUGGGCACCGUAGAGGCAGAUGGAAUUCCGGGUGUAGCGGUGGAAUGCGUAGAGAUCCGGAAGAACACCGGUGGCGAAGGCG